Molecule: RNA transcript, 4840 nt
Organism: Rhododendron vialii
Lineage: Eukaryota; Viridiplantae; Streptophyta; Magnoliopsida; Ericales; Ericaceae
Gene name: DNA repair protein REV1
Exons: 25
Source: RefSeq, a predicted model, not a curated record
ACGACUAGAAAAAAAAAAAAAAAAAACCUCCUCAAAUUCAAUCUUCGUUAGCAAGUUUCUUUCCCCAACGACUAGAAAAAAAAAAAAAAAACUCCUCAAAAGAAACUCACUAUCUUCAACACGCAUCACGGCAUCAGAAUGAGCUUCAACUCGUCUCGCUCUGCGGACUCUGGUUCCAAAUCGAAGAGAAGCUUCAAUUCAACCACCUCGAAUCGUUCGAGCAAUCCUAGCAGCAAUAGCGACAGCAGCAAGAAGCAGAAGAAGACUACCCAGAAAACCCUAGGCAUGGCUUGGGGAUCAAAUUCUCGCUCCGCCUCUCGCUCCUCCUUCCGCAACUCGCCUUUCUCCGAUUUCGGCAGUUACAUGGCAGUGAAAAAUCAGAAACUACAGGAGCAGUUUGAAGCUGAAGCUACGAGUUCUUCUAACAGUGGUUCAAAUAGCGGGAAGCCUAUUUUUCAAGGGGUUUCUAUUUUUGUUGAUGGAUUUACUAUUCCCUCAAGCCAGGAGCUGAAAGGGUACAUGCUGAAGCAUGGAGGACGCUUUGAGAAUUAUUUUUCGAGGCAUCGUGUUACUCAUAUCAUCUGCAGCAACCUUCCUGACAGUAAAAUUAAGAACUUGAGGUCUUUUAGUGCUGGGCUCCCUGUAGUGAAACCUGCAUGGCUGUUGGAUUCUGUUGCCGCUAAUAAACUUUUAAGUUGGGUCCCAUAUGAACUUGAACAGGUUGCUAGUGAAACUCAUAACCAACCAAAGCUAUCAUCCUUCUUUGCUUUGAAAAGCAGCGCACUCUCAAAUGAUCCUACAACUUGUGUUACUGGUCAAGUAAACUCUGAAAUUGAGGAUCCAUCAUUGAUAGGUGGCACAAUUAAGGAGUCUGAUUUGUCUGGGCGGUGUGGAUACACGGAACACUUAAGGCCAUGCAGUAGAGAGUCUAGAGACUGGGAUGAUAGUGUGCAUGGGAAUAGCACAUCAGUAAAAAUUGGGGAGGCGACAUGCAAUGAUGGAGAAUGUAGCGAAGGGAAUGUGGCUGAACCAAGUAAUGGUCUACCAAUAGACAAGGGCAGCGUUGAUGAUCGAGAUCCAGGUAGCCCCUCUGGACCUUCUGCAUCAGUUAUCAGCGACAAUGCUAACAAGUCAACGAGUUCAGCAAUUGCUGGGCCUUCUAAACGGCAUCAUUCAACUCUCGUUGACCCUAAUUUUGUGGAAAAUUAUUUUAAGAAAUCUAGGUUGCACUUCAUAGGUACUUGGAGAAGUCGUUACCGUAAGCGUUUUCCCAGCUCCAUAUACACAAGUUCUAAUGUUAAUGCUUCUGGUCAGAGGACUAAUGUUAUCCAUGUGGACAUGGAUUGUUUCUUUGUCUCGGUGGUCAUCAGGAAUCAUCCAGAAUUGCAGGAUAAUCCUGUGGCUGUGUGCCAUUCUGACAAUCCACGAGGAACUGCUGAAAUUUCGUCUGCAAACUACCCUGCUCGAAGUUAUGGAGUACGGGCGGGAAUAUUUGUUAGAGAUGCAAAGGCACUUUGUCCUCACCUUACUAUUUUCCCUUAUGACUUUGGAGCUUAUGAGGAGGUUGCUGAUCAGUUCUAUAACAUCUUGCAUAAACAUUGCAAGAAAGUGCAGGCUGUAAGCUGCGAUGAAGCAUUUUUAGAAGUCAGAGACUUUGAAGUGGAAGAUCCUCAGUUUUUAGCUUCAGUAAUUAGAAAAGAGAUAGUUGAAACUACAGGAUGCACUGCAAGUGCUGGAAUCUCUGGGAAUUUGCUUAUGGCUCGCCUUGCCACAAAAGCUGCUAAACCAGAUGGUCAAUGCUAUAUCCCUCCUGAGAAGGUGGAUGAUUACUUGAAUGAACUUCCAAUUAAGUCACUUCCAGGAAUUGGGCAUGUCUUAGAGGAGAAGUUGAAAAGGAAACAAAUUCAAACAUGUGGCCAGCUGCGGAUGAUUUCCAAGGAAUCUCUUCAAAAGGAAUUUGGAGUUAAAACUGGUGAUAUGCUAUGGAAUCAUAGUAGAGGGGUUGAUAAUCGGCUGGUUGGAGUGAUACAGGAAAGCAAGUCUGUUGGUGCUGAAGUAAAUUGGGGUGUGAGGUUCAAUGAUAUGAAAGAUUGUCAACAUUUUCUCACAAACCUUUGCAAGGAGGUCUCAUUGCGUUUGCAGGGAUGUGCGGUGGAAGGACGUAGUUUUACCCUUAAGAUAAAAAAGAGGAGAAGUGAUGCUGAGGAGCCAGUGAAGUAUAUGGGCUGCGGAGACUGUGAGAACCUGAGCCACUCUAUGACGGUUCCAAUGGCUACCGAUGAUGUGGAUAUAAUCCGAAGAAUAACCACACAGCUCUUUGGAUCAUUUCAUAUAGAUGUCAAGGAUAUUCGCGGCAUGGGCUUGCAGGUUUCAAAGCUUGAAAGUGUAGAUACUGCUAAGCAAGGGAAUGAAAGGAACUCUAUUCGGUCUUGGCUCAGCUCUGCCUCAGCAAGUACCAAAGAGCUGCUUGAAAUUAGUUCUCCAGCCAAAGAGAGUGCUAGUAGAGAAAUUGAUGAACAACACAUUGAUGAAAGCAUCGGUCGGCUGAGCUCGGAUUUCAUGGGGCCUUCAGUUCAAAUUGGGACUAACCCAUCAAACUAUGAAGCUCCUUUAAACCACGAUUUAACCCUACCAGCUUUAGGUGAUCUUGAUUUGGGAGUUGUAGCAAGUCUUCCUCCGGAUGUGUUUUCAGAAAUUAAUGACAUAUAUGAUGGCAAGUUAAUGAAUUUGAUUUCAAAAAGGAAAGGCAAAAGUGUCGCACAGGAAAGAGUACAAGUUCCACUAAAGGAGGGUAGCGGAACCUUUUACCAUCAUCCAGCCUGUGUAAAUGAAAACCGUGUGGUGGAUAAGGUUUACUAUAAAGUCAAAACUUUUCUCUCAGGUUUACAAUGUGGUCUUUCCUCAGCUUCAGGCAUCUGUUGGGGAAAACUACGGCGGAAGGUUACAUAUUUCAGAUGGGAAGGACUUAUGACUACUACGGACCGGCACACACUGAUUUCUUCACGAAGGAAGCCCACAAAUGGCAGCCAGUGGAUGAGACUCUCUCUCUGGGGUAUAGGAAGCAUCAGAUGUUUUCUAUGUGCAAUACAAAUAUUAGGAGGCAUCAAGGGAAAGGUUCGAUUAGUUUUCUGGAAGAGUCAUGGGUUUGAUAUAUUUUAUAACCACUUAACCGUGUAUAGAGGGGGCUGUUAUUCUGACAUUUUUUACUUGUCAGAUAUCAUGCGCGGCUGCGCCCACUCCCCUGUCCAAAUUAACUUAAACUAAAGUACUAAACUAAUUUUUGCCUUAUAAUUCUUGUGUAUAGAAAUCUUCAUGUUAUGAAGGAUCAUUUGACAGAUGACAUCAUCUUAUACUUAAGGCUAUGUUUGGAUCAUAGAUCCCUGAAAGGACGGAAGAGGGGAAGGAAAAAUUAAAGGAAAAUAUUUGAAGAUAAUGGAUUGAAUAAAUGAACUCAUUACUUUUGUUUUCCUGUUUCCCUUUGCUGAAUUCCUGUAUGAAUCCUUGAUUCAAACACACCAUUAAGGAAAUCUAGAGAUAGUAUGUCCUGAGUAGGCAAGUCCUUUAUUUUAUUUGUGGUCCCAUUCAUGUGAUACAUUUUACAUCAAGAACUAGAAGCAGUGCUUUUGAGCAAUUCCACGUUAAGGAACAUCUAUAGAUCCCUUGUCUCUCUCAACCCUUUUGAUUAUCUACGACAACCUGUGCAUAGUUGCUGGUUUCAUCUUUGAUUUUUGUUUGUUUCGUAAUGUCAUUGUUAUCGAUAAAAUCCACUUAUGUUGGGCCUAUGGUUACUUGUUUUGUGUCUUAAGUAGAAAGAAGAUGGCAUUGAAGGUGAUCGAUUCCUGCACGUGCAUUACCUUUUGAUUGUAAUGGGAGGCUGUGGAUGAACAUUUGGUGGGCAUCUUUGACAUUUCAUGACGUGCUCACAUGCUUGUUGAUAUCCAGACUCAAUGAAAUCAAAGUGUUGGCGGUAAAUGGAGACAUGGAGGGCUGUCAAAUCAUCAAAUGGGCUGUGGAUUGUGUGCGCAAAAAUCUUUCCAGUUUGCUAGUUGUCCCUUUACAGAUUUAUGCCCCACUUAUCCUGGUUGCUAGGACUCGGUUCUAAAUUGGUGUGACAAUCUUUGUGCUGGUACAACCGAGGUGAACGUUGAGCCCAUUACAAGGUUAUCAGUGACUUUGUAUCCCUCUUUCUAUGCAUUGGCUGUGCCUAGAAUCAGUACCGCCUUAAGCAUGGAAGCUUCAUGACCGCACCAGUAUGGAAGCUAAACUUUGGGACUCAAAAAAUGGACUCAGAUACAUCCUUCAACAAGACCAACUCAAGUUGAAGUACAGAUGGACUCUUUGGGAGUGGUGAAUCUGGUGAAAGAGAACCCUGAUCCACAGGGGAACUUGAUUGAGGAAUGCAAGAGCAUUUUUUGAACGAAGCAAUAGCUCCAUCAACCAUGCUCAUCGAGAGAGAAACAAAGUGGCUGACAUGCUGGCAAAUCUAGGAGUGGGGCAAGAAGACCCCCCCUUCUGAUGUCGCAAGCCUUCUUGCAGCUAAUUUGUGCAGGAACAAUGUUUGAGAGGCCUUGACCACUCUCCGGGUUUUUUUUUGAAUUUUAUUUUUAUUUUUGCCGAUGUACCAAAAAAUAGGGAAAUUCAUGUCAUUACCAGUGCAUUGGCUCAUAAGCCCAUUUUAUUCAAGUUAGACAACCGCAUAAAAAUGUGAAGUGUUAGUGCGGAUUAUAAACACUUUCAUAUUAGUGUGGUGUCUAAACACUUGUGAUCGUGUGGUUCACAAAUCCAAUGUACGGAGGAGGAUUUAGUAAUUAGUCAAUUGUUCGUCCUCUCAUGAUUCACC